This 198-nucleotide ribosomal RNA is filed under the name uncultured bacterium. RNAcentral's name for it is "partial 16S ribosomal RNA". It matches the Rfam family "Bacterial small subunit ribosomal RNA", at positions 328 to 539 of the family's 1533-position model. The record is from RNAcentral.
ACGCUCGACACCUACGGGAGCAGCAGUCGGGAAUAUUGCGCAAUGGAGGAAACUCUGACGCAGUGACGCCGCGUAUGGGAAGAAGGUUUUCGGAUUGUAAACCAUUUUAGACAAGGAAGAAACAAGACAGUACUUGUAGAAUAAGCUCCGGCUAACUACGUGCCAGGAGCCGCGGUAAUCUGAGCGGGCUGGCAAGGC